RNAcentral lists this ribosomal RNA (497 nucleotides) under uncultured bacterium. RNAcentral describes it as "partial 16S ribosomal RNA". It matches the Rfam family "Bacterial small subunit ribosomal RNA", at positions 28 to 507 of the family's 1533-position model. The record is from RNAcentral.
GAUGAACGCUGGCGGCGUGCCUAAUACAUGCAAGUCGAGCGGACGGACGAGAAGCUUGCUUCUCUGAUGUUAGCGGCGGACGGGUGAGUAACACGUGGAUAACCUACCUAUAAGACUGGGAUAACUUCGGGAAACCGGAGCUUAUACCGGAUGAUCUUCUGAAGCGCAGGGUUCAAAGGUGAAAGACGGUCUUGCUGUCACGUCUAGAUGGAUCCGCGCUGCAUUAGCUAGUUGGUAAGGUAACGGGUUACCAAGGCAACGAUGCAUAGCCGACCUGAGGGGGUGAUCGCCCACACUGGAACUGAGCCACGGUCCAGACUCCUACGGUAGGCAGCAGUAUGGAAUCUUCCGCAAAGGGCGAAAGCCUGACGCAGCAGGGCCGCGUGAGUGAUGAAGGUCCUCGGAUCGUAAAACUCUGUUAUUAGUUAAGAACAUAUGUGUAAGUAACUGUGCACAUCUUGACGGUACCUAAUCAGAAAGCCCCGGCUAACUACGUG